GUUGUUGGGUAGGGGAGCGUUCUGUAAGCCGUUGAAGGUGACCUGUGAGGGUUGCUGGAGGUAUCAGAAGUGCGAAUGCUGACAUAAGUAACGAUAAUGCGGGUGAAAAACCCGCACGCCGGAAGACCAAGGGUUCCUGUCCAACGUUAAUCGGGGCAGGGUGAGUCGACCCCUAAGGCGAGGCUGAAAAGCGUAGUCGAUGGGAAACAGGUUAAUAUUCCUGUACUUGGUGUUACUGCGAAGGGGGGACGGAGAAGGCUAGGCUGGCCGGGCGACGGUUGUCCCGGUUUAAGCGUGUAGGGGGAGUGACCAGGUAAAUCCGGUUGCUUAUCAACCCUGAGGCGUGAUGACGAUGCACCACGGUGCAGAAGCAGUUGAUGCCAUGCUUCCAGGAAAAGCCUCUAAGCAUCAGGUAACAUUAAAUCGUACCCCAAACCGACACAGGUGGUCAGGUAGAGAAUACUCAGGCGCUUGAGAGAACUCGGGUGAAGGAACUAGGCAAAAUGGUGCCGUAACUUCGGGAGAAGGCACGCUGGCGUUAGGUGAAAGGACUAGCUCCUGGAGCUGAAGCCAGUCGCAGAUACCAGCUGGCUGCAACUGUUUAAUAAAAACACAGCACUGUGCAAACACGAAAGUGGACGUAUACGGUGUGACGCCUGCCCGGUGCUGGAAGGUUAAUUGAUGGGGUCAGCCGCAAGGCGAAGCUCUUGAUCGAAGCCCCAGUAAACGGCGGCCGUAACUAUAACGGUCCUAAGGUAGCGAAAUUCCUUGUCGGGUAAGUUCCGACCUGCACGAAUGGCGUAAUGAUGGCCAGGCUGUCUCCACCCGAGACUCAGUGAAAUUGAACUCGCUGUGAAGAUGCAGUGUACCCGCGGCAAGACGGAAAGACCCCGUGAACCUUUACUAUAGCUUGACACUGAACAUUGAGCCUUGAUGUGUAGGAUAGGUGGGAGGCCUUGAAGUGUGGACGCCAGUCUGCAUGGAGCCAACCUUGAAAUACCACCCUUUAAUGUUUGAUGUUCUAACUCGGCCCCAUGAUCUGGGGUGAGGACAGUGUCUGGUGGGUAGUUUGACUGGGGCGGUCUCCUCCCAAAGAGUAACGGAGGAGCACGAAGGUUAGCUAAUCACGGUCGGACAUCGUGAGGUUAGUGCAAAGGCAUAAGCUAGCUUGACUGCGAGAGUGACGGCUCGAGCAGGUACGAAAGUAGGUCUUAGUGAUCCGGUGGUUCUGAAUGGAAGGGCCAUCGCUCAACGGAUAAAAGGUACUCCGGGGAUAACAGGCUGAUACCGCCCAAGAGUUCAUAUCGACGGCGGUGUUUGGCACCUCGAUGUCGGCUCAUCACAUCCUGGGGCUGAAGUAGGUCCCAAGGGUAUGGCUGUUCGCCAUUUAAAGUGGUACGCGAGCUGGGUUUAGAACGUCGUGAGACAGUUCGGUCCCUAUCUGCCGUGGGCGUUGGAAGAUUGAGAGGGGCUGCUCCUAGUACGAGAGGACCGGAGUGGACGAAUCACUGGUGUUCGGGUUGUCAUGCCAAUGGCAUUGCCCGGUAGCUAAAUUCGGAAGAGAUAACCGCUGAAAGCAUCUAAGCGGGAAACUUGCCUCGAGAUGAGUCUUCCCUGGGACUUAAAGUCCCCUGAAGGAACGUUAAAGACUAUGACGUUGAUAGGCUGGGUGUGUAAGUGCAGCGAUGUAUUGAGCUAACCAGUACUAAUGAUCCGUGAGGCUUAACCUU
This 1730-nucleotide ribosomal RNA is filed under the name Yersinia pestis CMCC49003. RNAcentral's name for it is "bacterial LSU rRNA". It matches the Rfam family "Bacterial large subunit ribosomal RNA", at positions 1220 to 2925 of the family's 2925-position model. RNAcentral also lists the same sequence under 2 other names. Lineage: Bacteria; Pseudomonadati; Pseudomonadota; Gammaproteobacteria; Enterobacterales; Yersiniaceae. The record is from RNAcentral.